This is a non-coding RNA of Malus domestica (apple), 2079 nucleotides long. The record is from RefSeq and is a predicted model, not a curated record. Lineage: Eukaryota; Viridiplantae; Streptophyta; Magnoliopsida; Rosales; Rosaceae.
UGAUGCAUACGUUUCUUGGUUAACCUAAUUUUGAUUAAUUUAAAAUGGCGGUGGGUUUGGGUUGUAAUCUUUUUUUCUAAUGAAUGAAUAGAUGAAGAAUUUGAUUAAGGAAGAAUUACUGCACAUACUACGUCGGCAGAGCACUGGCUUCUUUGCGGGCCAGCUCCAGAUAUAGAGGGGUUACACUGCACAAAUGUGGUAGAUCCGGAGCUCAAAUGGGAUAGUUCCUCUGAAAAAAAGUAUAAUUCCCACUUCUCUCUGCCUGCUUCCCCACUCCUUGCUCCAGUUGUGACUGGUUUUCCUUUUUGGUUCUAUCUUAGAAGUCUGUCAAGGAGAAGGCCAGGAGACCUGAAGAAAAUCCAUUGAAAAAGGAGUGAUGAAGCUAAAGCAGCAUUUGAAAGUUUGAGAGUGAUGGAUUUUCGAAUGAAAUGCACUUAACCCUGGAUUCCAGUGGGGGUGGCUGAAGCAGCUGCCGGAUAUGACAAAUGGCAGCUAAGUGGCAGCACAGAGCUUUCGCCGGAGGGAGAAAGGAUUUUGAUACGAGACAUUACUUGCUCACCCAAAGGUGAGAAUGUUAUGUGAGAAAGCCAAGGAAAUUCUAAUGGGAGAAAGCAAUGUUCAGGUGUAAAUUUUGGUCUCUUUAGUCUCUUAUUAUAUUUGUAUUACAUUACAUAUUUCACUGUUAUUUCAUUUUGUAUGGGAAAAAAGCGUUAUUAUUGUCCUUCAUUUUGAACUGGUAACACUGGUGUAGAUCUUUUAAACUAUAUGGGUAGACACUUAUUAUUAUUUAUUUGCAUGCAUGUGAAAGGGCCAGUGACAAUUUGUGGCGAUAUUCAUGGGCAAUUUCAUGACCUUGCAGAGCUUUUUCAAAUUGGAGAGUUUUCUUGCUUGCAAUUUUGAAUUAUUUCAAAUUAUGAAUGAAAAAGCUUUUGGAAAUUAGAUACUUUCUGUGAAGAUUUUUCUUUGGAGUUCAGUAAAUUGAUUGCUCCUUUGGCUAUAAGUUUGACAUUAGUAAAUUCUGGACUUUAAUUUCAGUGAUUACCCAACAUUGAUUGUUAUUGAUUAGCAUUUGUUUUCUGGAAUUUGGACUCUAAACAGUUCAAAGGUUUUGGGAAAGGAAUGCUUUUUAAUCUAGCCAAUUGGUGGUCUUAGCAAUACAAUGUCAAAUUUUUUUAAAUCCGAGUCUGACAAUUUUGGCAAGAUGCAAAUGAGCUGUGAUUGGGAAGGUAAUAUCAUCCUAAUAUAUUUUUCAAAGCAAUUUACUUAUUUGUAUUUUGCAGCUUUAUGUGUCCAAGAGGUUUCAAGUGUUAGUGAGGACCUCGAAAUGUAUGUAUUAAGGUUAAUCAGUAGUGGUACAAAAUAUAAACAUCACUUUGAGUGAUUAAUAUAAACUCUGUAUGUUUUCGUUUUGAAUGUUGAAGUUGGAAAUUGCUUUGGUUAGGAUACUAAUGAUUAGAAAAUAACUUUGUUUAAGGAAUGCACAAAUAGUCUAUGGGUGGAUUUUCAUGGAAAAGUUGACUAAAUUUCUUCUUUGUUGUUUCCAUAUGGUGCUUCAGUGGUGGGUUUUGAAAUUUUAGUUGUGGAUGUGAAAUUCACUUCUCAAAAGAUAGUUGCGAUAAUGCCUAUUUUUCUCUCAAAGCUCUUUUAGCCGAGUUGUCAGAAUCAAUGACUGAAGCUCUCCAUGACGAGUUGGACAUCGGCCUGAUACACUACUCUCAGUCUUUCCUGCUUUUAAUUUUGAUUGUUUAUGAUGAGUCGGACAUUGGCAAUUUGUUGUUGAAUUUUAUUUUGAUAAUUUCUGAAAAUUUUGUUUUAUUUUGUUGACAGCUUUUAUUGCCCACAAAUUUCAAAUAGAAAAGUUAGAAGAGCUACGGAUUUGCUUUCCACUGGUUCCCUGUAUUGAGUGCAAACGUGCUCCUAAUAUACUUGAAUUAAUUCUAAAGUCAGUAACUUUUCUGGGAUUGUUUGUGGUUUUGUGAGUGUUGCUUAGGUAAAACGUGGGUUGUCUAAAUUGCUGCAUUUAAGAAUGCGAUUGUAUUGCAACAGGAUUUUCAUUUAAUUUUUCUGUGGAUAUUUUCA